RNAcentral lists this ribosomal RNA (340 nucleotides) under Pheidole amazonica. RNAcentral describes it as "partial 12S ribosomal RNA". Lineage: Eukaryota; Metazoa; Arthropoda; Insecta; Hymenoptera; Formicidae. The record is from RNAcentral.
UUAUAAAUAAAGUUUAUUUGAGUAGAAAUUAAAUGAAAUCAUUAAAUUUAAAUAAUUUGGCGGUAUUUUAAAUAGUUAGAGGAAUUUGUUGAUUAAAUGAUAGUCCACGAGUGGAGGGUCCUGGCAGGUUUUUAUGUAUUGUUGUAUGAAAAUUAUUUUAGGAGAAUAAUAAUUAUAAAAUUUAAUUUAAUUUUAAUUCAAAUCAAAAUGUAGAGUUGUUAGGUUUAAAUGAAUUACAGUUUAAUAUAAUAAUAGAAUUAAUUUUUUAAUUAGAUUGAUAAAAGAGGAUUUAAGAGUAAAUUUAAAAAAAUAUUUAGAUUGAAAUAAUAAUUAAGAUAUG